Non-coding RNA from Musa acuminata subsp. malaccensis (wild Malaysian banana), 978 nucleotides. NCBI's taxonomy places the organism in Eukaryota, Viridiplantae, Streptophyta, Magnoliopsida, Zingiberales, Musaceae. The record is from RefSeq and is a predicted model, not a curated record.
AUGGCCGCGGAGGAGAAUGUUCGCUGCCUGGCCUUCUUGGCGAAGCCCUUCGUUGCUCCCUCGUCCAGCGCCGCGCCGGCGACGCCCUUUACCCCUUCCUCCUCCGCGGACAAGAAAUCGGUUUUUCUGUUCGAUUGAUGGUUGAUUAAAGGGGAAAGUGGGGUCGAGGCGAAAAGGUUGGCCGUCGGAGGGUGGUUUACGACGAGAUACUCGCGAACAGCAAGAACCUACUUAAGGUCAGAGGGCUUAUAAAAGGCAAAUCAGUGGUCUCAUCUAAAAUGAAACUCAAGAGUUUAAAAAAACUAUGAAGUUGCAAGCACUUGGCUGGAGACAGCAGAGAACAAACCAAAUUGCCUCAACUGUCUGGUGAAAGGUUUCACACAUACUUCUGAAGACCGUGCCUCUGUGAAAGGUGGCAUUAAGAAUGCAUCAACUGGCAGUCCGGCUCAGGAUCCCACUCUUGUAUCUAUCUCAUUAUACUUUCAGCUCAUCCAAAAGGGAAUUAGGUUCUGACAAUUUAAAAUGCAGCUUGCAGCCACCUCUUUAACCGAGCCGUGCUGCCACCAAGGAACUGGAAAAACAAAAUGAUGAGCUUGCUGUUGUUGAUCACAUUGCUACGGAGAAUGAUACUUGUUUAAAAGGAUCUCCUUGAUAUAUAACAAAAAAUGCAGUUCAAUUGUCAUGAAUCAGAUAAAUCAUUGGAAAUGAUUGGCAAGACGAUAACAGAUAAAAUGAAUGACCAAGAUGUAACUCUUUUAUAUAGUGCCAUUUAUGCAACUCUUUUCAUUGAGUUCAUUUUUCUCCUUAUUUACCAAUUAUGAUGAGAACAUUAGGCAACAUAAAGAAUUUUAUCUUUAUAAUAUUAAAGAAUUUUUUACUUUAGUCAUGUCUGUGCUCGUGUAUGGUUGCUUAAUCUGUCGGCCCUUGCUCAGGUAGAAAAGGACACGAGUGACUUCUUCCUCUUCGGACUCUUUUUCC